AGCUUGGAACUCCUGUAACCUGGCACCCAUGUUCUAGGAAGGUCCCAUACCAGGCUCACUUGCCUACAGACACAGAGACUUUAGGAUGUUCUCUUGUUGUUUUCCCAGGUACCGGGGCUCUGGAUGCCAGAAACCCCAGUGCGCAGGAUUACUCAGAUGUUGGAGAGGUUUCCUUAACCCACGCUGGCGAUGCCUCAGGAUGUUUUCCGGGAGGUCACAUAAGAGCCACAUGCCACAGAUGGAGGACAAGCUGAAUGAGAGCCCCUGCUCUACUUCCCUGAAGGAAAGAAGGAAGCCCCAUGCCAUCAGCACGAAGCCCCGCUGGCUCAGGGGUAUGAACAUCUCACCCAUGCCCGACAAUGAGAACCGUGAGGAAGGGACCAUGGAAG
Prionailurus viverrinus (fishing cat) is the source of this 389-nucleotide long non-coding RNA. RefSeq lists it as uncharacterized. NCBI's taxonomy places the organism in Eukaryota, Metazoa, Chordata, Mammalia, Carnivora, Felidae. The transcript is spliced from 3 exons. The record is from RefSeq and is a predicted model, not a curated record.